CGCCUCCUGCCUACAUAUAGGAGGUCCAGCCUGCCCAGUGACCUAGUUCAACGGCCGCGGUAUCCUAACCGUGCGAAGGUAGCGUAAUCACCUGUUUUUUAAUUAAAGACCUGUAUCAAAGGCAUCACGAGAAUCGCACUGUCUCCUUUCUCCAAUCAGUGAACCUAAUCUCCCCGUGAAAAAGCCGGGAUAAUUAUACAAGACGAGAAGACCCUUUGGAGCUUUAGAUAAAGUAAUAUAUUGCUUCCACUAUUUCCCACCUACAUAAAAUAGCAUCUAUCUUACAAUUCUUCGGUUGGGGCAACCGCGGAGCAUAAAACAACCUCCAAGCUGAAUGGAACUUUCCUUAACAAAAAGCCACAUCUUUAUGUAUCAACAAAUUGACAUUAUGACCCAAUAUUUUGAUUAUCGAACCAAGUUACCCUAGGGAUAACAGCGCAAUCUACUUCAAGAGCCCAUAUCGACAAGUAGGCUUACGACCUCGAUGUUGGAUCAAGGUAUCCCAGUGGUGCAGCCGCUACUAAAGGUUCGUUUGUUCAACGAUUAAAACCUC
This 553-nucleotide ribosomal RNA is filed under the name Eleutherodactylus coqui (Puerto Rican coqui). Its description in RNAcentral is "partial 16S ribosomal RNA". It matches the Rfam family "Bacterial large subunit ribosomal RNA", at positions 1829 to 2597 of the family's 2925-position model. The record is from RNAcentral. Lineage: Eukaryota; Metazoa; Chordata; Amphibia; Anura; Eleutherodactylidae.